RNAcentral lists this unclassified non-coding RNA (300 nucleotides) under Entoloma sp. RNAcentral's name for it is "partial contains small subunit ribosomal RNA and internal transcribed spacer 1". The stretch from base 1 to 46 matches the Rfam family "Eukaryotic small subunit ribosomal RNA", at positions 1786 to 1831 of the family's 1831-position model. The record is from RNAcentral. Lineage: Eukaryota; Fungi; Basidiomycota; Agaricomycetes; Agaricales; Entolomataceae.
AAGUCGUAACAAGGUUUCCGUAGGUGAACCUGCGGAAGGAUCAUUAUUGAAUAAACUUGGUUGGGUUGCUGCUGGCUCUUAGGAGCAUGUGCACACUCACUCCAUUUUAACCACCUGUGCACAUACUGUAGGCCUGAAUGAAACUGUUCGAGGAAACUCGGUUUGAGGACUGUUGUGAAAAUCAGCUGUUCUUGCAUUCCAGGUCUAUGUUUUUAACAUAUACUCCAUAACAAGUUAUAGAAUGUUAAUCAUGGGCCUUCUGUGCCUUUAAAUUAUAAUACAACUUUCAACAACGGAUCU